GACGAACGCUGGCGGCAUGCCUAAUACAUGCAAGUCGAACGCUGAAGCACUCUGCUUGCAGAGUGCGGAUGAGUGGCGAACGGGUGAGUAACACGUGGGAAAUCUGCCUAGGAGUGGGGGAUAGCCUUCCGAAAGGGAGAUUAAUACCGCAUAAGAUUGUAGUACCGCAUGGUACAGCAAUCAAAGGAGCAAUCCGCUAUGAGAUGGGCCCGCGGCGCAUUAGCUAGUUGGUGAGGUAACGGCUCACCAAGGCGACGAUGCGUAGCCGACCUGAGAGGUGAUCGGCCACGAUUGGGACUGAGGACACGGCCCAGACUCCUA
This 321-nucleotide ribosomal RNA is filed under the name uncultured bacterium. Its description in RNAcentral is "bacterial SSU rRNA". It matches the Rfam family "Bacterial small subunit ribosomal RNA", at positions 28 to 341 of the family's 1533-position model. The record is from RNAcentral.